Equus caballus (horse) is the source of this 7507-nucleotide non-coding RNA. NCBI's taxonomy places the organism in Eukaryota, Metazoa, Chordata, Mammalia, Perissodactyla, Equidae. The record is from RefSeq and is a predicted model, not a curated record.
GUUGCAUGAAACAAAUGAGAAUCAAUUUGCUCAUUGCCGAUCAUUGCCAAUGAUUCCACAGCACAUUUGAUUGAUCAUCUUUCAAAGGCACGUCACUCUAUGAAGAAUCUUGUGGAUUCUACAGGGGAGUCAGCCAGAAUCCCUGUCUUUUGAAUGAACUCUUAGAUCUGUUGCAUUUAGCCUGCUCUCUCAUAGUAGCAACAUUUCGUACUUUCAGACAUUCCUUUGGCUAUUCUGUGUGCUCAUUCUGAGACUUUUAAGAGGUGAUAACUACGUCUAUUUAUUUAUUUUUAAUUCAUGGUCUAUAAAUACACCUGGUAACAUGACUCACCAACCACUAGCCAUCCCACACAAAGAGACAGGAUUGUUUGGGGCCACAAAAAUCUGGUUUUGAAGGGGUGCUGUCUGGUUUCACAGCCUCAGCUCCCUUCUCUUUUCACUGGAGUCUUUCAAGGACGCCUCUCAGUGACUUUGUACAAUGCUGCAAGGUGCGGUUUUGUGCAGAACUUAGAGCAAGGGGGAGAAGAGAAAAAGAAAACUUCCCUCUAGUAAAUUGGCAGAGGAACAUUUCUUAAGGUUACACACCACCCACACAUUCCUUUCAAAUGAUCAAAGACUUACGAGAGGUCAUGGAAGGAGAGAAGAAGAAGAAGGGAGCCUGGAAGAAUUUUUUUUUCUUCAAGUUCUCUGUGCUGCAAGUCUUUCUGAAUAAGGGACAACUUAGGACUCUUGUUACUCUUCUGGAAGAUUUCUAGGUUGAAGGGAGCACACGUUGAAUCGAGUUGGUGAACUGAUAUCUCGAAAACGAACAAUACGCCUAUCUCUUUUCUAUGUCUCAUUCCAAAUUCAACACCAUUUCCAUCCAUUAAAUCUUUUAUGUAUUCUUUUCAUUAUUUUUUUAGGUUUAGUUUUCAUGGUCCUCUUUACUUCCUGGUUUCAGCGGAAUACACUCAACUUGUUAUCUUGAUUUUUCUGUUUCUGGCUCAUCCCAAAGCAGGAAGUACUCAACAUUUACAAGAAAUCUGUUUGGACUUGAUUUUCUUACCCCAUUGGUAGUUUCUAAACUCAAAUCUAGUCUUUUAGAUUUGGCUUUAGUUUUACGUUGUAUCUUGUGUCAUUCUUUACAGCUUAGGUCUGGACUGCCGUUCAUUUUCAUCUGGUGGAGUGAAAUGCUGUCUUUCCUAGGUUUUCAUAGUAAUAUACACCUCAGUUAGACCUUUACUCAUCAUGUAGAUUUUAUUUGCUUGCCUUACCCUGAUAUUGUAAUCUCCUCGAGGGAAGAGGCUGUGUCCUUUACAUUUUUGCAUCCCUACCUCCUUGCAAACUGACAGGUCACGGAUACUAAAUAAAUAUUUGUCGAAAGAAUUAAUAGACUGUGGUUUUUUUUAACUUAAAAAGCCUCAGGCACAAAUCUGUGGUUUUUCUUGACACUUUCUACCAGGUGCAAGUGACUAGCAGCCAGAUUUUUUGUUGCUCUUGUUUAAUUCCUCUUCGCCAUUUGGGGCCCUGCCUUCCUUCUCCAUCUCACCGUUGCCUGGGUCUGUACACAAACAGAAAACUUCCAUCACAAUACAGAAGAAAAGAUAUGAGGAAACUCCUAGAAGGUACUUCAGUUUUUCAACUAAAGGAAACUUUGCAUCAGUGCUCAGUGACAUACCAGAAGGACGGGUACCUUGAACUUGGAAGGAAACCUUUAUUUCACUACUACUACAAUCCUCAGAAAUGCUGCUCUUGUGAAGAGCCAAAGCUGCCAGUGUGGAAAGUAAGUCCUUAAGGGACCAAGCCAUUUGAAUUACAUUGUCCUUUGGACCCACGCAUGGCAAGAGCAUCUGCUUUCCUGUCUUGACUGGAGGCUCAUGCACCUUAUGUUACUAUUUGUGUUUAUGUGGAGUUUUGCUGAAGUGCAGUCUUUGGUUUCCACUAUGAGCGCUCCCAGAGCAUCCUGUCCACAGGACGGGAAAGCGCCCAAUUGCGAAUUGGGAGCCAAAAGUGACUACAAUUCCCAGGAAGCACUUCACGGCUUCUCUUUGGCGUAUCUGAACUGCCCUCAUCACUACACUUGCACUUUCGGGCCAUUAUUAAGGAAAAUAAUGGUGACUUGGACACAAGCACUGCCUACUGCGACAGUUGAUCUGAUAACAGAGACGGCUACUAAGCGACUGAAAGGAAUAUCAACUGGAGCACAAUCUAGAAUCACACCAGGAGUAUGUGCAGGUUUCUGACAAAGGAGUUUUGAAGGAAACAGCUUCAAGCUAAAUGGAUUCUGUACAACAGAAAACAGCUCUUCAAACAGCAUCGCUGUCAUACAUGGACAACUACAAAUACAUCUCACCUCUCUCAGGGCAGCUGUGAAUGUAAAUUUCAACGGUUAAUGUUAAGUUACUGCUUACAAACUAUGCAGACAUCUAAGUUGAAAUACGAAUUGAGUGAUUUUGCUUUCAUCAAGGAGCAAUUUUCCAUUACCUUCAGUAAUAUUUCCUCAAAAUAGAAGUUUGAUGAAAGGAAAUGAAAGUAAAUGAGAUACUGCAGAUUUCUCAUAUAAGUGUAUGUGUGUAUAAAACUCUUUCUGUUGUCUUCAUGUGUCUUUAUGUAUGCCAUGCCAUACUUUUAAACCAGGACUUCUUAACUCUGGUUCCAUGGUUCAGAGGCUUUUGGGGUUCAGUGAAACAAAAUUUGUGGUUAUAAGCACAAACUCUAGUUCAAACUCUGAUUCUUCCAUUUACUUAGCUUGGGCACAUAACUUAACCCCAUCUAUGACUCAGUUUCUUCGUUUACAAAAUGGAGAUAGUAAUAGUCUUUAGUUCAUAGGGUUGAAGAUUAGAGAGUUAAUUAUGUAUAGUGCUUAAACAAUGCCUACCUGGUUGGUAAAUUAAAUUUGGUAUUAGUUAUCACAUGUAUUAACAAUUAACAUUGUUUUUAUUUACUAGUGACUACUGAAAUAUUGAUUUCAAAUAUUUAUUACUUUUAAAUUAAAAGAAGGCCUAUUUUAACUUCCUCACAUUUGUCUCAUCCAUGCAAUUUAUUUAAUGACAAACCUAAAUUUACAUUUAGCAGAAUUUUGGCACCUACGUGAAUUACACGAAGGAAGGUAGUGGUCAAGGGGUUUAUUUAUUUAUGUAGGGUCUUGAGGAGAAAUUAUCCUGUUGGCUAACCAAGUGAAAAUUUUGCUCAAAAUUCAAUUGUAGAGUUUGAAAUUGGGGAAAUUCUGUGGAAAAUAAUCUUCAAGACAAAGAUUGUUUCGUUCAUGACGUUAGUCAUUCUUAUCAGGAAUAUCAGCAGAAAGCUGAGUCUUGAGCAGCAUCCAACGUCCUUUGCAGGGAAAGUUUCAAGCCUCUUUGUAGGGCUUCUUGAGGCACCGUUGAUUUAGAAAACAUGGAUUGUUUGCCUUUGCCUUCUAGAUAUGAGCACUAUGGGGGAUCUUUAUGGAUUUCAUCUGCUGCUGUAUCCUCAGCACCUAGGGAAGUGCCUAAACUUAGUACAAACUCAUUAGCUAUUUGUUGAAUGAAUAAAUUAAUAAGCUCUUAAAGUCAGUAUUACGGGUUAGGGAUAGAGCAACAAUUAAGCCCUCAUAAGGUAUAAGCAAAAAUUGUUCACAUCAAUUUUCCAUCUCCAUUCUUCUUGUCUAAAGCAAAUAUGUCUUCUUUCCUUAAAUAAAUAAAUAAUAAAAUAUUUGCCUCGCAGCUCAUGGCAGUCCAAGAUAGGUAUUGUCUGCCAUAUAGUUCCUGCUUCAUCUGGCUAGAUUUGUCAAUACUAUAGACUGAUAGAUCAAGAGAGGUGUCCAGUAUUCACACUAGGAUUUUUUCCCUUUCUACUUAACCAAACCAUCCUAAAGCUGCACAUCCAGACAAUAUCAUCAUGGCCGUAUCUGAACCUGCUUGGUUGACUGUCAGGUUGACAUGGUAUCUGUAGGUAUCACUGACAGGAUAGUUGGAAUUUGCACACACUCAUAUGUGGGAACAACAUGUCCCUUUUCCUAUCACUUGCAUCCACUGAUGUCAUGGAAUCAGAGCUUUGUCCAUUUCAGGUAUAAUGGCAUGAAAUACGUGUUAGGACAAAUCGUUACCAUCUGUUGUAUGGUCUAGUAUGUUCCAACAAUGUUACAUGCACAGAUAUUACUCAACCCUUACAACACCUCUCUGUGAUAUGUCUUGUAAUUCCCAUCUUACAAAUGAAAAACACGGCUUUGAAGGAAAAGUAAGUCAUCCCUGUUGACACCGAAACUAGGAGACAGACAAGGAAUUCAAACACAGGCCUGCUGACUCUAAAGUUUGUGUGCAUUAUGCUUUGUUAGGAUACCUAUGAAUGCUCUGUGAUUUCCUCCAAUUCUUGAGCUCAUUGCUAUAUUUCUCUCUCAAAGUCUUAAUUUUCACCUCAUUCUGCCACUCUUUAUACCCGUACAUACCUUGUUGAACACUGUGCCCAUGUAGAAAGCAAAAACCCAGGCUGGAGCUGAGCUAUUGCCCGUGGUAAUCAGCUGUAUCUGAGACUAUGUUCCGAUCAGAUGUCAAAUCACCCCAGAAACACCCUAGAGAGACUGUGGAACUAUUCAUAAUUACCACAAAUUGAAAGUGAUGAGAAAAUUGGUGCUAUUUCCUUGUCAAUCUCUAGAAAGAUUAUUAUGCUCUCUACUUACUACCAGAUAGUUUUUAAAAUUCUUACUGUGAAAAUUUAUUCCACAACCUUCAACAUUAGUUCUCAAUCUUUGUUUUGCAACACUCCAGUAUGCUUCCAAUUAUUUCAAGAAUUGUUGUAAAGUUCUUAAUUUCCAAACAAAAUUAAAUGUGAUUAAACUUUGUUUUAACAUUUUAUUUUGGGAAAUUUCAAACAUAUUCAAUGUAAUAGAAGAGUAACAAAUCUCUAGGUACCCAUUGAUCCAGGUUCAACAGUUACCAAUGAAUAUCAAAUCUCAUUUCAUUUAUAUCCUCCUACACCUCCCCCAUACCCACCCCAUGGGUAUUUUGUAGCAAAUUUUAGAUGUUGUAUCAUAUCAUCCUGAUUAAGCUUUAUUUUAAAUUAGAAUGUCAUAGAAACAAUUGGGUAAAGAAAAAGAAUAGGACAGGAACACAGGAACAAUAUGAAACAAAACCCAGUAAAAUGCAAUGAAAACUGCUCAUUUUUGUUUUACUCCAAGGAGCCAAAAACCACUUCUCUUUUUAUUGAUUUUGUACAGAAAUCAAUAUUUAAUACGUUUCUUGAUGAUGAUUAGGAUGAUGAUGACUUCCCUAAAAUGUGUGGCAGAUAAUUCGUCAGUGGACAUCAGACACUGAGGGAGAUGAGAGACUAGAUUGUAUCAAUCUCCAGAUGUUUCAGAGUCACUUUUCCAUCUGCUAAGAAGAGAUGGAUGUCAAGAUUAUCUUUUACAAUAUGAAAUUUGAGGAAACAAAGGAUGCAAGAAGGAAAAGAAGAGAGAGAAAGCAAACUGCCACCCUCAUGGUCCAAGAUCACAGUAAAAGAUAAUUUUCUAGCGUGAGUCAGGCUGAAACUGGUUUCCCAGCUUCCAGUGUGACACCCAAUCCAUGAAGUAGCUGUACUUCUGUGUCUUGCCAGUCCUGGUCUGGGCAUGUACACAAGGUAUGUGGACAUUCUUCUUGCAUAUCUUGAGCGGCAUGGACAUUGUUCUUACAAUCUCUAUUAAAAACCCAUUCUCAGUUUUCGCUGCAGCUCUUCAUGGCUCCCCUGACCAGCAAUAUCAACCAAUACCUAUUGGUUUUUUGCAAAUUGUCAGCUGUGAGCUUCCUACUUGGCAUGGCAAGAAUGAGUUAGAGGUGUCUCAAGAUAUUGAUGGCUUCAGCUCGCAAUGCAGCAGGACAGGGCCUAGCCUGGCCAGUCUUUGGACCAGUGACCUUUGGCCAUGAGUACCAUACAAAAUGGUCUUUUUCUACGUGUUCUAUUUUGUCAAAGAGGUUGGGAAACAUUGGAGUAGAUUGGUUAAUAUAUUUAUCUAAAAACAUGCUUUGACUGCCUAAUAUGGGGAUCUGGGAAUAUAUCCUGGAAUAUAGAGAUGAAUAAAACUCAUACCUCACUGGCAUCUGAGUGACACAUCAUUUCUAAAGUUCUAUCAUGUAUUUUCCUUACUUCAAAAUUGCCAAUUUGGGCAAAAAGAUAAUUAUAUCAAAGAAGGAGUAGAGAUGACUGAGUGUGGAAACUACAGAAUAUGGAACUUAUCAAAGAAAACAUUGGUGUUCUUACUACAACUCAAUAUUAAUAAUCAUUUAUCUCCUGAGGACACAUUUCUAUGUUUGCUUUCCUUCCAUUGGCUAUCUUUCAAGCUAUGCCUCGUCACAUUAACUUCAUAAGGGUUUUAAGUAAAAAAUGUUGUUUUUAUAAAAAGGAAAAUAUGUAAUUUUUACUUGUUAAAAAUAAUCAGAAGUUAAUUCAUAUACAAAUUAGCUCAAAAGUUAGCCACAGUUCCAUAUUGCCAAUAUUAUUAAGCAUUACAAAUAGAUUAAAUAUCACAAAAUGCUUCUUAAGAACUGCAAAUAAGUGAUUGGGUUAUAACCUAAAUGAUAAAGUGAUCCUUAGCAUCUCCACAAAAACAGAAAACCACCACCAUGCAGUCGCAUCCUCAGAACCUUUAUUAAGAUUAUUAGCUCUUCUUAGCACUGUAUGCUCUCUCUAAGAGAGAGUUGUUUAUUGAUAUGAUGCUUGGAAAUCACAGCAGAUACCCAAGAAUAAUGAAGUUUGGCAACAGAUUGCAAAGUCUUAAAUGAAAAUGUGGCAGUUCUACAUGAACACAAACUAUCUCCAGACAAUUAAAAGAGCACACAUGUUUGUAUUUUACACACAUCCAUCAAAAAAUGCUGAAAACGGUUUAAAAUAUUUUUGACAAAAUAAGACUUUUUAACAAUCAAAACUAGAUUUUACAUAUGUACAUUUUAUUUAAAAAUAGUAAGUUUAUAAAUCUGAGCAUGGACUUCUUUUAAUGACGGUUCUGGAAGGUAAGUAUUCUAUUAUACUAUAUUUAGCAAGAGCAUUCUCAAAAAUAGUGAUACAAGAUCUGCUUUCUCUCUCUUCUCAUGGUAUUCUAUAAGAUUCCUCAAGUAUUUUGAUCCACUACUAAGGGGCAGUUAUGUUGGAUAUAUAGGCAUCACCCACUUGAUGUUAGCGACACAUUCAGGAAAAUCUGAUGUUUUGCCCAAUAAUACUAACUGGUAGACUAUUUCCUUUUUUUAAAAAAAUAUUUUAAUAUGUUACUUGUCCACCCAAAGCCCCCAAUGUCCUAAAAGGUAAAUAAGUCAAAGUAAACUACCUAUGUGUAAGUAACACACAAUCACAUUAGGAAGUAAAAUAAUCUAGCUAUCAAUUAUCGAUCAUCACUCGAUAUAUUUAUUCCCAUACAGUUGUUUAUGUGUGUGGAAACAUACUACAGUAGCCUCUCAGUAUAGCAGGGGAUUGUCUCCAGGACCCCCCCAGAUACCAGAAUCUGUGGAUGUUCGAGUCCCUUAUAUAAAAUGGCAUAGUAUUUGCAUAUAACCUACUGCACAUUCUCCCAUAUACUUUAAAUCAU